UACGGAGGGGGGCUAGCGUUGUCCGAAGUUACUGGGCGUAAAGCACGCGUAGGCGGGUUGGUAAGUCCGCUGUGAAAGCCCCGGAGCUUAACUCCGGAGGGUCGGUGGAUACUGCCAGUCUUGAAGGUGCUAGGGGGAGAUGGAAUUACCGGUGUAGCGGUGAAAUGCGUAGAUAUCGGUAGGAACACCAGUGGCGAAGGCGGUCUCCUGGGGCAUUCUUGACGCUGAGGCGCGAAAGCUGGGGGAGCGAACGGG
This 255-nucleotide ribosomal RNA is filed under the name uncultured bacterium. Its description in RNAcentral is "partial 16S ribosomal RNA". It matches the Rfam family "Bacterial small subunit ribosomal RNA", at positions 524 to 776 of the family's 1533-position model. The record is from RNAcentral.